CCAGAUAUAGUUGUAAAUAAACAUAAUGUAGGCGAGGAUGUUCUUACAAAUGUAAGUCCUUUAAGGACUAUCUUUCCUUCAACCUCGUCCGAUAAGUAGAUUGUAACAGCCCUGUAUUCUUAAUGAAAUUUUAAUUUCUGUUUACUUGAGCUGUUUUUCGCUUUAUAAUUUAUCUCUCCUUCUCGUAACUGUAAUGCUUACAUUGUAUAUUUUUAUUCAUAAGCUUUUGCUGAACUAGAUUAGCCUUUAGUCAUGAGCCCGAUUCUUAGCUAACUGUCUGAACUUAUAAGUCAGAUCACAUACCUUCUAAUGGUGAUUAGCAGGGCUGCCUUUUUGCUUUUAGUUCUGUCUUGCCAGGAAAUGAAGCUGAGGUCCUUUCUUCCCAAAUUUCCCCCUUUACCUCCUCAACCUUUCAUUACAUGAGUGUUGAGGGGGUAAACGAUUGUUUCCUGUUUCCUUGGUUAUGAGCUCGGAUGUCUAUGUAUGGCGA
RNAcentral lists this long non-coding RNA (490 nucleotides) under Manihot esculenta (cassava). RNAcentral describes it as "long non-coding RNA (MESC_LNC011846)". The record is from RNAcentral. Lineage: Eukaryota; Viridiplantae; Streptophyta; Magnoliopsida; Malpighiales; Euphorbiaceae.